UUUAUAAAUAAUAGUACUCGAUAUAAUUCGCACGAAUGAUCGAAAUGAAAAACUUGUAAUCGGACGUAACGUUGAGUGUUUGAGAGAGAGAGAGAAAGAGAGAGAUGAUGCUUUUUUUAGCCAGAUUGUACAAAAACAUUUAAUUUCGUCAUUGACUCCAAGGAAGACUAAAAGUGAGAAGAAUACAAGAGGAC
Cyphomyrmex costatus is the source of this 194-nucleotide long non-coding RNA. RefSeq lists it as uncharacterized. The record is from RefSeq and is a predicted model, not a curated record. The transcript is spliced from 3 exons. Lineage: Eukaryota; Metazoa; Arthropoda; Insecta; Hymenoptera; Formicidae.